This 548-nucleotide ribosomal RNA is filed under the name uncultured Glomeromycotina. RNAcentral describes it as "SSU rRNA". It matches the Rfam family "Eukaryotic small subunit ribosomal RNA", at positions 548 to 1097 of the family's 1831-position model. Lineage: Eukaryota; Fungi; Glomeromycota. The record is from RNAcentral.
UUGGAGGGCAAGUCUGGUGCCAGCAGCCGCGGUAAUUCCAGCUCCAAUAGCGUAUAUUAAAGUUGUUGCAGUUAAAAAGCUCGUAGUUGAAUUUCGGGGUCAGUAGAUUGGUCGUGCCACUGGUAUGUACUGGUCUCACUGGCUCCUCCUUCCUGAUGAACCGUAAUGCCAUUAAUUUGGUGUUGCGGGGAGACUGGACUGUUACUUUGAAAAAAUUAGAGUGUUUAAAGCAGGCUAACGCUUGAAUACAUUAGCAUGGAAUAAUGAAAUAGGACGUUCGAUCUUAUUUUGUUGGUUUCUAAGAUUGACGUAAUGAUUAAUAGGGAUAGUUGGGGGCAUUAGUAUUCAAUUGUCAGAGGUGAAAUUCUUGGAUUUAUUGAAGACUAACUACUGCGAAAGCAUUUGCCAAGGAUGUUUUCAUUAAUCAAGAACGAAAGUUAGGGGAUCGAAGACGAUCAGAUACCGUCGUAGUCUUAACCAUAAACUAUGCCGACUAGGGAUCGGAUGAUGUUAAUUUUUUAAUGACUCAUUCGGCGCCUUACGGGAAA